Molecule: ribosomal RNA, 504 nt
Filed under: uncultured bacterium
Lineage: Bacteria
Description: partial 16S ribosomal RNA
Rfam family: Bacterial small subunit ribosomal RNA
Source: RNAcentral
GAUGAACGCUAGCGGCAGGCUUAAUACAUGCAAGUCGAGGGGCAGCAGCUUUAUAGCAAUAUAGAGGCUGGCGACCGGCAAACGGGUGCGGAACACGUACACAACCUUCCUUUAAGAGGGGGAUAGCCCAUAGAAAUGUGGAUUAAUACCCCGUAACAUAUCGGUGUGGCAUCACACUGUUAUUAUAGUUUCGACGCUUGAAGAUGGGUGUGCGGCUGAUUAGGUAGUUGGCGGGGUAAAGGCCCACCAAGCCUUCGAUCAGUAGCUGAUGUGAGAGCAUGAUCAGCCACACGGGCACUGAGACACGGGCCCGACUCCUACGGGAGGCAGCAGUAAGGAAUAUUGGUCAAUGGACGCAAGUCUGAACCAGCCAUGCCGCGUGAAGGAUGAAGGUCCUCUGGAUUGUAAACUUCUUUUAUAGGGGGCGAAAAAAGGGAAUUCUUUCUCACUUGACAGUACCCUAUGAAGAAGCCCCGGCUAACUACGUGCCAGCCGCCGCGGUAA